CAGGUCCUCUGGCACCAGCUUAUGCCUGUGUGUCACCACACUCCAUGAACCUGCUCCACAAACCCUGUCUCAAGCCGCAGUGGCCUUUUACCUGAAGGCAUGACUAUUUCCUCAAUAGAACUUUCCUCUGCAAAACAUGAAAGAAUACAGGAAAUCCUGCAUGACCUUAUGAAUACCUGUGCUAAUUAAGUCACUGGCUUGGUACUGGAAGAACAGCAAGAUAAUAACACAGAGUUUUGUCUGGGAAAUACAAAUCUGAGAAUGGAGUGGAAAGGGAAAUGCUCCAAAUUUCAGAAACAAGAUUCCAUUUGCAACCUGAAAGCCUCAUUGUGUGUGGCAGGAGUGAAACACCUUCUGAGAAACAUGAAGCUCAGCAGAUGCUCCCUUGAAGGUUCCUGUGCAGCCAUCCCCUGGACUGACUGCUG
This 425-nucleotide long non-coding RNA is filed under the name Parus major (Great Tit). Its description in RNAcentral is "lncRNA (ENSPMJG00000006250.1)". Lineage: Eukaryota; Metazoa; Chordata; Aves; Passeriformes; Paridae. The record is from RNAcentral.